GUGCGCGCUGAUCGCCUGGCGUCAGCCCUCCUUCCUCUCUCAGCAGAUGCGGGGACCAGAGGAUGCGCGGGCUGCGGGGGCUGCGCCGAGCCAGCCUGAAGUUGCUGUUCUGUUCACCUGCCCCAAUCCUCGGUGCUUUGGCCUCCUCCUUAGCAGCUGCCAGAGCCAUUGGACAAGGAGAGAGUGCCUUGGCCCUCUGUAGAGCCUCACUCUCGAGGGCAACAGGCUGGGAAAGAGAGUUUCCUGAGGACCAGGGGUCUGUGCAGAGGCUGCGAGGAGAAGCCAUGACAGCUCAGGACUACAGCUCCCAACCAGCUUUUUCUGGCCUGUGUCAAAGCUGGGCCUCUCUUGGACUUGGAAGAAGAAAUGUUUGAUUGCUGUGCAGGGUACUUGGUUUUGAUGUGUGGCAUUUCUUCUAUUAUAAAAUGCAAGCCAUUUUUUCUUGUUUUUAUAAGCCUUAAAAUGCAGAGCAGGGCUUCUUAGAAUAAAAAUAUAUGGCAUAGAA
Phacochoerus africanus (Common warthog) is the source of this 505-nucleotide long non-coding RNA. RefSeq lists it as uncharacterized. The record is from RefSeq and is a predicted model, not a curated record. NCBI's taxonomy places the organism in Eukaryota, Metazoa, Chordata, Mammalia, Artiodactyla, Suidae. The transcript has 2 exons.